UUAAAAUUUAAGGUGGGAAAAUAUACUCUCCCAUUUUUCUAGUGAACCACUUUGAUGCACUAAGUUUUAUUCCAUUCUUUCUAACACGAAAUGCUUCUCUUGUUCCCCUAUGGGUUUCUAUGAUCUUCUUUUCAAGGAUAAUAUCUUCCAGUAGCAGAGUCUCAUUGUUGGUGUGUAAAUCCUCUAAUGAAGGCCUAACUUCUCCAAAUUCGUCAUCUAACAUGGAUGGUUCAAAUGGUUUUAGAUUUUCAACAUUGACUAUAGAGUAUAUUUUUAUGUAGCUAGGUAAAUUCUAGUUGAUAUGCAUUAUCACAAAUCUUUUUAAGGACCUUAAAAGGACCAUAACGAAUAGGCUUCAAUUUGCCUUCUCUUUUUAACCUCUCAUUUCCCAAGUGUAGCCAUAUUAAAUCUCCCA
This 415-nucleotide long non-coding RNA is filed under the name Carica papaya (papaya). RNAcentral describes it as "long non-coding RNA (CPAP_LNC011031)". The record is from RNAcentral. Lineage: Eukaryota; Viridiplantae; Streptophyta; Magnoliopsida; Brassicales; Caricaceae.